CCUACGGGUGGCAGCAGUGAGGAAUAUUGGUCAAUGGACGGAAGUCUGAACCAGCCAUGCCGCGUGAGGGAAGAAGGUACAGCGUAUCGUAAACCUCUUUUGUCAGGGAACAAAGGCGGGGACUAGUCCCCGGCUGAGGGUACCUGAAGAAAAAGCAUCGGCUAACUCCGUGCCAGCAGCCGCGGUAAUACGGAGGCUGCGAGCGUUAUCCGGAUUUAUUGGGUUUAAAGGGUGCGCAGGCGGCCUGUUAAGUCAGCGGUAAAAGCCCGGGGCUCAACCCCGGCGAGCCGUUGAAACUGGCGGGCUGGAGUUGGAGAGAAGUACGCGGAAUGCGCGGUGUAGCGGUGAAAUGCUUAGAUAUCGCGCAGAACCCCGAUUGCGAAGGCAGCGUACCGGCUCCACACUGACGCUGAGGCACGAAAGCGUGGGUAUCGAACAGGAUUAGAUACCCGAGUAGUC
RNAcentral lists this ribosomal RNA (459 nucleotides) under uncultured bacterium. RNAcentral describes it as "partial 16S ribosomal RNA". It matches the Rfam family "Bacterial small subunit ribosomal RNA", at positions 338 to 795 of the family's 1533-position model. The record is from RNAcentral.